GUUUGUGGCUCAGUGGUUGAGUGCUUGCCUCGCAUGCAUGAAGCACUGGGUUUGAUCCGCAGCAGCACA
Molecule: transfer RNA, 69 nt
Filed under: Marmota monax (woodchuck)
Lineage: Eukaryota; Metazoa; Chordata; Mammalia; Rodentia; Sciuridae
Description: tRNA.Ala
Source: RNAcentral